CGGAGCUUGCUCCACCGGAAAAAGAAGAGUGGCGAACGGGUGAGUAACACGUGGGUAACCUGCCCAUCAGAAGGGGAUAACACUUGGAAACAGGUGCUAAUACCGUAUAACAAUCGAAACCGCAUGGUUUUGAUUUGAAAGGCGCUUUCGGGUGUCGCUGAUGGAUGGACCCGCGGUGCAUUAGCUAGUUGGUGAGGUAACGGCUCACCAAGGCCACGAUGCAUAGCCGACCUGAGAGGGUGAUCGGCCACAUUGGGACUGAGACACGGCCCAAACUCCUACGGGAGGCAGCAGUAGGGAAUCUUCGGCAAUGGACGAAAGUCUGACCGAGCAACGCCGCGUGAGUGAAGAAGGUUUUCGGAUCGUAAAACUCUGUUGUUAGAGAAGAACAAGGAUGAGAGUAACUGUUCAUCCCUUGACGGUAUCUAACCAGAAAGCCACGGCUAACUACGUGCCCAGCA
RNAcentral lists this ribosomal RNA (461 nucleotides) under Enterococcus durans. RNAcentral describes it as "bacterial SSU rRNA". It matches the Rfam family "Bacterial small subunit ribosomal RNA", at positions 74 to 513 of the family's 1533-position model. Lineage: Bacteria; Bacillati; Bacillota; Bacilli; Lactobacillales; Enterococcaceae. The record is from RNAcentral.